UACGUAGGGUGCGAGCGUUGUCCGGAAUUAUUGGGCGUAAAGAGCUCGUAGGCGGUGUGUCACGUCGGCCGUGAAAACCUGCAGCUUAACUGUGGGCGUGCGGUCGAUACGGGCAUCACUGGAGUUCGGCAGGGGAGACUGGAAUUCCUGGUGUAGCGGUGAAAUGCGCAGAUAUCAGGAAGAACCCCCGUGGCUAAGGCGGCUCUCUAGUACGGUACUGGCGCUGAGACGCGAAAGCGUGGGGAGCGAACAGG
Molecule: ribosomal RNA, 254 nt
Filed under: uncultured bacterium
Lineage: Bacteria
Description: partial 16S ribosomal RNA
Rfam family: Bacterial small subunit ribosomal RNA
Source: RNAcentral